RNAcentral lists this ribosomal RNA (396 nucleotides) under uncultured bacterium. RNAcentral describes it as "partial 16S ribosomal RNA". It matches the Rfam family "Bacterial small subunit ribosomal RNA", at positions 361 to 774 of the family's 1533-position model. The record is from RNAcentral.
AUAUUGCACAAUGGGGGAAACCCUGAUGCAGCGACGCCGCGUGAGUGAAGAAGUAUUUNGGUAAGNANAGCUCUAUCAGCAGGGANAAAAAGGACGGUACCUGACUAAGGAGCCCCGGCUAACUACGUGCCCGCAGCCGCGUUAAGACGUAGGGGGCAAGCGUUAUCCGGAUUUACUGGGUGUAAAGGGAGCGUAGGUGGCGAGUCAAGUCAGAUGUGAAAGCCCGGGGCUCAACCCCGGGAUUGCAUUUGAAACUGGUUUGCUAGAGUGCAGGAGAGGUAAGUGGAAUUCCUAGUGUAGCGGUGAAAUGCGUAGAUAUUAGGAGGAACACCAGUGGCGAAGGCGGCUUACUGGACUGUAACUGACACUGAGGCUCGAAAGCGUGGGGAGCAAACA